UACGGGGGGAGCAAGCGUUGUUCGGAUUUACUGGGCGUAAAGGGCGCGUAGGCGGCCACGACAAGUCACUUGUGAAAUCUCCGGGCUUAACUCGGAACGGUCAAGUGAUACUGUCGGGCUAGAGUGCAGAAGGGGCAACUGGAAUUCUCGGUGUAGCGGUGAAAUGCGUAGAUAUCUGGAGGAACACCGGUGGCGAAGGCGGCAUCCUGGACCGGUAUUGACGCUGAGGCGCGAAAGCCAGGGGAGCAAACGGG
This 254-nucleotide ribosomal RNA is filed under the name uncultured bacterium. Its description in RNAcentral is "partial 16S ribosomal RNA". It matches the Rfam family "Bacterial small subunit ribosomal RNA", at positions 524 to 776 of the family's 1533-position model. The record is from RNAcentral.